This 464-nucleotide ribosomal RNA is filed under the name uncultured bacterium. RNAcentral's name for it is "bacterial SSU rRNA". It matches the Rfam family "Bacterial small subunit ribosomal RNA", at positions 356 to 837 of the family's 1533-position model. The record is from RNAcentral.
GGGGAAUAUUGCACAAUGGGGGAAACCCUGAUGCAGCGACGCCGCGUGAAGGAAGAAGUAUUUCGGUAUGUAAACUUCUAUCAGCAGGGAAGAAGAUGAUGGUACCUGAGUAAGAAGCACCGGCUAAAUACGUGCCAGCAGCCGCGGUAAUACGUAUGGUGCAAGCGUUAUCCGGAUUUACUGGGUGUAAAGGGAGCGUAGACGGAUAGGCAAGUCUGGAUGUGAAAACCCAGGGCUCAACCUUGGGACUGCUUUGGAAACUGCAGAUCUGGAGUGCCGGAGAGGUAAGCGGAAUUCCUAGUGUAGCGGUGAAAUGCGUAGAUAUUAGGAGGAACACCAGUGGCGAAGGCGGCUUACUGGACGGUGACUGACGUUGAGGCUCGAAAGCGUGGGGAGCAAACAGGAUUAGAUACCCUGGUAGUCCACGCCGUAAACGAUGACUACUAGGUGUCGGGUGUCAAAGC